GUGGGGAAUAUUGCGCAAUGGGCGAAAGCCUGACGCAGCAACGCCGCGUGGAGGAUGAAGGCUCUCGGGUUGUAAACUCCUUUCAGCAGGGACGAAAAUGACGGUACCUGCAGAAGAAGCCCCGGCUAACUACGUGCCAGCAGCCGCGGUGAGACGUAGGGGGCAAGCGUUGUCCGGAUUUAUUGGGCGUAAAGAGCUCGUAGGCGGCUUGGCAAGUCGGAUGUGAAAUCUCCAGGCUUAACCUGGAGUCGCCAUCCGAUACUGCUAUGGCUAGAGUCCGGUAGAGGAUCGUGGAAUUCC
RNAcentral lists this ribosomal RNA (300 nucleotides) under uncultured bacterium. RNAcentral describes it as "bacterial SSU rRNA". It matches the Rfam family "Bacterial small subunit ribosomal RNA", at positions 354 to 670 of the family's 1533-position model. The record is from RNAcentral.